Pan troglodytes (chimpanzee) is the source of this 280-nucleotide non-coding RNA. Lineage: Eukaryota; Metazoa; Chordata; Mammalia; Primates; Hominidae. The record is from Rfam.
ACCUCAGGGUGCGUGCCUAUGGUCCUGGCUACUUGGAGGCUGAGGCAGGAGGAUGGCUUGAGCCCGGGAGCUCUGGGCUGCAGUGCACUGUGCCCAUCAGGUGUCCGUGCUAAAUUCAGCAUCAAGAGGGUGACCUCCCUGGAGCAGGGAACUGCCAGGUUGCCUAAGGAGGGGUGAACCGACCCAGGUCGGAAACGGAGCAGGUCAAAACUCCCAUGCUGAUCCUUUGCACCACCUGCAAAGGAAUAAUUUCUGGGCCAACAAUAAAUACCAGAUACAU